Molecule: long non-coding RNA, 235 nt
Filed under: Homo sapiens (human)
Lineage: Eukaryota; Metazoa; Chordata; Mammalia; Primates; Hominidae
Description: HSALNT0367634
Source: RNAcentral
UUUGAAGAUAUUUCCUUUUCCACCAUAGGUGGCAAAGGGCUCCAAUAAUCCGUUUGCAGAUUCUACAAAAAGAGAGUUUCAAAACUGCUCAAUCAAAAGAAAGUUUCCACUCUGUGAGAUGAAUGCACACAUCACAAAGAAGUUUCUCAGAAUGCUUCUGUGUAGUUUUUAUGUGAUGAUAUUUCCUUUUCCACAAUAGGCCUCAAAGCGCACCAAAUAUCCACUUGCAGGCUCU